UACGAAGGGGGCUAGCGUUGCUCGGAAUUAACUGGGCGUAAAGCGUGCGCAGGCGGCUAUGCAAGACAGAUGUGAAAUCCCCCGGGCUCAACCUGGGAACUGCAUUUGUGACUGCAUAGCUAGAGUACGGUAGAGGGGGAUGGAAUUCCGCGUGUAGCAGUGAAAUGCGUAGAUAUGCGGAGGGAACACCGAGUGGACGGAAGGCAAUCCCCUGGACCUGUAC
This 223-nucleotide ribosomal RNA is filed under the name uncultured bacterium. Its description in RNAcentral is "partial 16S ribosomal RNA". It matches the Rfam family "Bacterial small subunit ribosomal RNA", at positions 524 to 740 of the family's 1533-position model. The record is from RNAcentral.